GACAGAGGGUGCAAACGUUGCUCGGAAUUACUGGGCGUAAAGCGCGUGUAGGCGGGCCGGAAAGUCGGGCGUGAAAUCCCUGGGCUCAACCCAGGAACUGCACUCGAAACUUCCGGUCUAGAGUGGUGGAGAGGGAAGUGGAAUUCCUGGUGUAGAGGUGAAAUUCGUAGAUAUCAGGAGGAACACCAGUGGCGAAGGCGGCUUCCUGGACACCAACUGACGCUGAGACGCGAAAGCGUGGGGAGCAAACAGG
This 253-nucleotide ribosomal RNA is filed under the name uncultured bacterium. RNAcentral's name for it is "partial 16S ribosomal RNA". It matches the Rfam family "Bacterial small subunit ribosomal RNA", at positions 524 to 776 of the family's 1533-position model. RNAcentral also lists the same sequence under 1 other name. The record is from RNAcentral.